This 223-nucleotide long non-coding RNA is filed under the name Elaeis guineensis (African oil palm). RNAcentral describes it as "long non-coding RNA (EGUI_LNC051991)". Lineage: Eukaryota; Viridiplantae; Streptophyta; Magnoliopsida; Arecales; Arecaceae. The record is from RNAcentral.
ACCUUUCUUCUCAAUGCCAAAAAGAUUUUUGGGCAUGAGAAGAGAGGGCACAGAUAGGGUGGGUGGCAAACAUGAUGAGUCAUGAUCCUUAUCUCCUUUCUAAUUUGAAUGCGAUCCGAAUUAAAGAUGAGGAGAUAAGAAGGAAAGAGAUCCGUUAUGUUUAGAAAGAAUGGUGGUGCCAAAUGAUUUUUUUUCUUAUUUUCUUUAAAGAGUUUGUUGGCAU